RNAcentral lists this long non-coding RNA (230 nucleotides) under Lathyrus oleraceus (garden pea). Its description in RNAcentral is "Pisum sativum (pea) long non-coding RNA (PSAT_LNC019515)". The record is from RNAcentral. Lineage: Eukaryota; Viridiplantae; Streptophyta; Magnoliopsida; Fabales; Fabaceae.
UCCAGAUUCACAAGCUGCCAUCAUCAUAAGGUGCAAAUUCGAUUUCCUUAAUUGUGUGAAUCAUGAUAUGCGUUUUGAAGGUCUUUCAAUGUAGAUUAACAUGAUGCUCAUAGUUUUUGAUUUAGUUAAGUAUUGAGAGAGUAAUCGUGAUUUGAAGUUUGAUGUGCGUUUCUACUUUUGGUCGAUCCGGAUAACAUGUUUAGAAUUAGGUUAAAAUGAUUACAUAUUCG